AUACUUACCUGGCAGGGGAGAUACCAUGAUCACGAAGGUGGUUUUCCCAGGGUGAGGCUCAUCCAUUGCACUCGGGAAGUGCUGACCCCUGCGAUUUCCCCAAAUGUGGGAAACUCGACUGCAUAAUUUGUGGUAGCGGGGGACUGCGUUUGUGCUCUUCCCUG
This 164-nucleotide small nuclear RNA is filed under the name Echinops telfairi (small Madagascar hedgehog). Its description in RNAcentral is "U1 spliceosomal RNA (ENSETEG00000021361.1)". It matches the Rfam family "U1 spliceosomal RNA". From Rfam's summary of the family: U1 is a small nuclear RNA (snRNA) component of the spliceosome (involved in pre-mRNA splicing). Its 5' end forms complementary base pairs with the 5' splice junction, thus defining the 5' donor site of an intron. Lineage: Eukaryota; Metazoa; Chordata; Mammalia; Afrosoricida; Tenrecidae. The record is from RNAcentral.